Long non-coding RNA from Gadus morhua (Atlantic cod), 1091 nucleotides. RefSeq lists it as uncharacterized. Lineage: Eukaryota; Metazoa; Chordata; Actinopteri; Gadiformes; Gadidae. The transcript is spliced from 2 exons. The record is from RefSeq and is a predicted model, not a curated record.
CAGCGCCCCUCUAAGUUGUAAGUACUGAAUACACGGUCAAACACGACAUUGCACACUGUAUGUCCGUGAGGAAGCCUGCCCGAGAUGGCAUCCCUUGGUGAAGAAAAAGAAGAAGGAUUAACCUAUCAGGUGAGGCUACCGUCAUGACACUGCCCUCCUGUGAUUAAUCAGCAGGGUGCAAAGGGAAGCCACCGGGCCCUUUGCUUCACACCAAUCAAAUCAAAGCAUCAACGUCAACGUAAACAAAUAUCGGGAGAUUUGCACUUUUAUCAUUUUAUCGUAUAAGCAAGUGCAGUUAUGGAGGGUUGAGAUUUAGAGUAUUUAGUAAAAUUUAACCAAACUGCCACAUGGGAAGCAACUAAAAAUUGAAUCUGACUGCAGGCCAAUGCCGAAGCUUCAGCUGCGUGCACGGAGAGAAAGAUGAGUGGUUAUCGCACUUUCAAUGAGGAGAACUAUGUCCUCACCGACUGGUAGCGCUGAACUUCAGCUGCUAUUUUGCUGGCCAUGUCUUCUUUUUCGUAAAGAUUCAUGCACCCUGAACAAUCCCUGGGUCUCUUAUUGACCCCUUCGCCACCAUGAAAGACAGGAGAAUGGCCUUCAUCUACAAACGGGGUGAGUAAAAUACCCACCUCCCGGUGUGGCAUUACUGUUCCCUGAGCUGUCCGUUUAUUAUUUUUUGUGUUAUUGUAUGUCUAAUUGUGCAUUGAUUGUCUGGAAUAAGUUGCAUUGGUCAAUCAAAUGAAGUUGUUGUUUUAUCGCGUUCGUUAACGCUGAGAAUCAGCACCAGGGACAGCAGGGCUCACCUGAACAGAUGCGGCUGUGUUAGAUUAUAGCCGCUUGUUCAGGGUUGUCUUGUGUUAUCUAUUAAGUAGAGUUGUGUAAGGAACAUUGUUUAGGAUGACUGUGUGUGUGUGUGUGUGUGUGUGUGUGUGUGUGUGUGUGUGUGUGUGUGUGUGUGUGUGUGUGUGUGUGUGUGUGUGUGUGUGUGUGUGAGAGCGCGAAAGAGAGAGAGAGCGAGCACGUGUGUCUGUCAGAUGACAGGCGUGUGUAAGUCCUGGUAACCAGGCGCUGAAAUAGCUCUUGUAGUUACA